RNAcentral lists this transfer RNA (66 nucleotides) under Phthorimaea operculella (potato tuberworm). Its description in RNAcentral is "tRNA-Val". The record is from RNAcentral. Lineage: Eukaryota; Metazoa; Arthropoda; Insecta; Lepidoptera; Gelechiidae.
CAAAUUAGAGCUUGAAUUAAGUUUUUCAUUUACAUUGAAAAGAUAUUGUAAAAACAAUUAAUUUGA